GGCGUGUGGUCUCUAGACAACUGAGGGAAAGUAGACAGACCGUGCUCACCGAUUUAAAAGAACAGCCCUGAAAUGACCCCCGUUACACCCUGUUCUCUUUUUUAGACAAGUUACUUCCACCUGGAGCGGUUUCUGGGCCCGGGUAUGGGGAUUUCUUCACCCGGCCCCCUAGGCUUUCACCUCGGUGGAAUUUCCCGCGCCCCCGCUGGGAUGAUUUAGGGACUGUUGGCUAGAACUGCCCUUGCCUACCGCCCUACUGCGGGCGCUCCCCUGUCUGGGGGGUGCUUGGCUGGGUGUGGAGAAGGAUCAAUCACAGCUGACUCCUCAGAGGUGACAGCCCCUGCCCCCUUAAAAACAAGAAAAGACCUAGCAGUGUGAAGCCAAACUGCACCCCCAGCCCCGGUGACAUGAGGAAACCGUGAGGCGCUCAGCCUGAGGUUCAUCGUUCAUCUCCUUCCUGCUUGGAAUCAGAAUGUCCUCACUGCUGAGUUUCUCCGUUUUAUGGGAUUACAUUAGUGGACAAAGGAGGAAGUCCCAGCCGGGAACACAGAAAGGAUAUGGAGAAAAUUAUUAUUCUGCCCCUACAGUUUCGGUGACCCAGAUGGGAUCUCUGGGACACCCUGCCUGCUCUACAAUUGGGAUCCCUGGAAAAGUGACAGAAUCUGGCAACAGAUGAGUAAGAAAGGUCACUUCCUGGCAGACCUCAGGUAUAUUGGGGACAUCAAGAAAAGAAUAAUUCAUCAAAGUCUAUAGAUAUUGCAGGCAAAGUUGAAACAAGCCAGACAAGUUCUCUUUGUAUUCUUGAGAGACUUGGAAAGUCUAACCUGAGAUUCCUUAUUAAAAGUUCC
This 848-nucleotide long non-coding RNA is filed under the name Pan troglodytes (chimpanzee). RNAcentral describes it as "long non-coding RNA NONPTRT017042". Lineage: Eukaryota; Metazoa; Chordata; Mammalia; Primates; Hominidae. The record is from RNAcentral.